This 69-nucleotide microRNA precursor is filed under the name Phlebotomus papatasi. RNAcentral describes it as "mir-2 microRNA precursor". It matches the Rfam family "mir-2 microRNA precursor family". From Rfam's summary of the family: The miRNAs are transcribed as ~70nt precursors (modelled here) and subsequently processed by the Dicer enzyme to give a ~22nt product. In this case the mature sequence comes from the 3' arm of the precursor. The record is from RNAcentral. Lineage: Eukaryota; Metazoa; Arthropoda; Insecta; Diptera; Psychodidae.
UGAGCUCUCAAAGUGGCUGUGAAACGUUUGUUUUGAUAUUCGUAUCACAGCCAGCUUUGAUGAGCUUAG